GAUGAACGCUGGCGGCGUGCCUAAUACAUGCAAGUCGAGCGAACGGACGAGAAGCUUGCUUCUCUGAUGUUAGCGGCGGACGGGUGAGUAACACGUGGAUAACCUACCUAUAAGACUGGGAUAACUUCGGGAAACCGUAGCUAAUACCGGAUAAUAUUUUGAACCGCAUGGUUCAAAAGUGAAAGACGGUCUUGCUGUCACUUAUAGAUGGAUCCGCGCUGCAUUAGCUAGUUGGUAAGGUAACGGCUUACCAAGGCAACGAUGCAUAGCCGACCUGAGAGGGUGAUCGGCCACACUGGAACUGAGACACGGUACAGACUCCUACGGGAGGCAGCAGUAGGGAAUCUUCCGCAAUGGGCGAAAGCCUGACGGAGCAACGCCGCGUGAGUGAUGAAGGUCUUCGGAUCGUAAAACUCUGUUAUUAGGGAAGAACAUAUGUGUAAGUAACUGUGCACAUCUUGACGGUACCUAAUCAGAAAGCCACGGCUAACUCCGUG
This 497-nucleotide ribosomal RNA is filed under the name uncultured bacterium. RNAcentral describes it as "partial 16S ribosomal RNA". It matches the Rfam family "Bacterial small subunit ribosomal RNA", at positions 28 to 507 of the family's 1533-position model. The record is from RNAcentral.